ACGCUCGACACCUACGGUAGGCAGCAGUGGGGAAUAUUGCACAAUGGGGGAAACCCUGAUGCAGCGACGCCGCGUGGAGGAAGAAGGUCUUCGGAUUGUAAACUCCUGUUGUUGGGGAAAAAGAGGAUGGUACCCAACAAGGAAGUGACGGCUAACUACGUGCCCGCAGCCGCGGUAAUCUGAGCGGGCUGGCAAGGC
RNAcentral lists this ribosomal RNA (198 nucleotides) under uncultured bacterium. RNAcentral's name for it is "partial 16S ribosomal RNA". It matches the Rfam family "Bacterial small subunit ribosomal RNA", at positions 326 to 539 of the family's 1533-position model. The record is from RNAcentral.